RNAcentral lists this ribosomal RNA (262 nucleotides) under uncultured bacterium. RNAcentral describes it as "partial 16S ribosomal RNA". It matches the Rfam family "Bacterial small subunit ribosomal RNA", at positions 93 to 353 of the family's 1533-position model. The record is from RNAcentral.
GAGCGGCGGACGGGUGAGUAACGCGUGGGUAACCUACCCUGUACACACGGAUAACAUACCGAAAGGUAUGCUAAUACGGGAUAAUAUAUUUGAGAGGCAUCUCUUAAAUAUCAAAGGUGAGCCAGUACAGGAUGGACCCGCGUCUGAUUAGUUAGUUGGUAAGGUAACGGCUUACCAAGGCGACGAUCAGUAGCCGACCUGAGAGGGUGAUCGGCCACAUUGGAACUGAGACACGGUCCAAACUCCUACGGGAGGCAGCAUG